RNAcentral lists this transfer RNA (79 nucleotides) under Candidatus Bathyarchaeota archaeon ex4484_205. Its description in RNAcentral is "tRNA-Ile". It matches the Rfam family "tRNA". From Rfam's summary of the family: Transfer RNA (tRNA) molecules are approximately 80 nucleotides in length. Their secondary structure includes four short double-helical elements and three loops (D, anti-codon, and T loops). Lineage: Archaea; Thermoproteati; Candidatus Bathyarchaeota. The record is from RNAcentral.
GCCGGAGUAGCUCAGAUCAACCAGAGAGCAACCUGGUUAGAUAGUCCAGAAGUCGCGGGUUCAAAUCCCGCCUCCGGCA